Molecule: ribosomal RNA, 497 nt
Filed under: uncultured bacterium
Lineage: Bacteria
Description: partial 16S ribosomal RNA
Rfam family: Bacterial small subunit ribosomal RNA
Source: RNAcentral
GAUGAACGCUGGCGGCGUGCCUAAUACAUGCCAGUCGAGCGAACAGACGAGGAGCUUGCUCCUCUGACGUUAGCGGCGGACGGGUGAGUAACACGUGGGUAACCUACCUAUAAGACUGGGAUAACUUCGGGAAACCGGAGCUAAUACCGGAUAAUAUAUUGAACCGCAUGGUUCAAUAGUGAAAGACGGUUUUGCUGUCACUUAUAGAUGGAUCCGCGCCGCAUUAGCUAGUUGGUAAGGUAACGGCUUACCAAGGCAACGAUGCGUAGCCGACCUGAGAGGGUGAUCGGCCACACUGGAACUGAGACACGGUCCAGACUCCUACGGGAGGCAGCAGUAGGGAAUCUUCCGCAAUGGGCGAAAGCCUGACGGAGCAACGCCGCGUGAGUGAUGAAGGUCUUCGGAUCGUAAAACUCUGUUAUUAGGGAAGAACAAAUGUGUAAGUAACUAUGCACGUCUUGACGGUACCUAAUCAGAAAGCCACGGCUAACUACGUG